RNAcentral lists this ribosomal RNA (446 nucleotides) under uncultured bacterium. Its description in RNAcentral is "bacterial SSU rRNA". It matches the Rfam family "Bacterial small subunit ribosomal RNA", at positions 330 to 792 of the family's 1533-position model. The record is from RNAcentral.
ACCAGACUCCUACGGGAGGCAGCAGUGGGGGAUAUUGCACAAUGGGGGGAACCCUGAUGCAGCGACGCCGCGUGGGUGAAGGAGCGUUUCGGCGCGUAAAGCCCUAUCGGCAGGGAAGAAGGAGGACGGUACCUGACUAAGAAGCCCCGGCUAACUACGUGCCAGCAGCCGCGGUAAUUCGUAGGGGGCAAGCGUUAUCCGGAUUUACUGGGUGUAAAGGGAGCGUAGACGGCGAUGCAAGCCAGAUGUGAAAGCCCGGGGCUCAACCCCGGGACUGCAUUUGGAACUGUGUGGCUGGAGUGUCGGAGAGGCAAGUGGAAUUCCUAGUGUAGCGGUGAAAUGCGUAGAUAUUAGGAGGAACACCAGUGGCGAAGGCGGCUUGCUAGACGAUGACUGACGUUGAGGCUCGAAAGCGUGGGGAGCAAACAGGAUUAGAUACCCCAGUA